AUGCACGCUGGCGGCGUGCCUCAUCCCUGCAAGUCGAGCGAACAGAUGAGGAGCUUGCUCCUCUGACGUUAGCGGCGGACGGGUGAGUAACACGUGGAUAACCUACCUAUAAGACUGGGAUAACUUCGGGAAACCGGAGCUAAUACCGGAUAAUAUAUUGAACCGCAUGGUUCAAUAGUGAAAGACGGUUUUGCUGUCACUUAUAGAUGGAUCCGCGCCGCAUUAGCUAGUUGGUAAGGUAACGGCUUACCAAGGCAACGAUGCGUAGCCGACCUGAGAGGGUGAUCGGCCACACUGGAACUGAGACACGGUCCAGACUCCUACGGGAGGCAGCAGUAGGGAAUCUUCCGCAAUGGGCGAAAGCCUGACGGAGCAACGCCGCGUGAGUGAUGAAGGUCUUCGGAUCGUAAAACUCUGUUAUUAGGGAAGAACAAAUGUGUAAGUAACUAUGCACGUCUUGACGGUACCUAAUCAGAAAGCCACGGCUAACUACGUG
This 496-nucleotide ribosomal RNA is filed under the name uncultured bacterium. Its description in RNAcentral is "partial 16S ribosomal RNA". It matches the Rfam family "Bacterial small subunit ribosomal RNA", at positions 29 to 507 of the family's 1533-position model. The record is from RNAcentral.